Molecule: long non-coding RNA, 312 nt
Filed under: Lathyrus oleraceus (garden pea)
Lineage: Eukaryota; Viridiplantae; Streptophyta; Magnoliopsida; Fabales; Fabaceae
Description: Pisum sativum (pea) long non-coding RNA (PSAT_LNC015133)
Source: RNAcentral
GAGCUACGAGUGCUCUGAUUCUUCCUCUGGUUAGAGAAGAUACGUAUGCAUAGGAUGCAACAUCCUAGCGAGCACGUUUCCCCUUUCCCCGAACUACGUCGACUCUGAUGUUUGUGUGACAAACUACGUAUAACAUCCUAGCGAGCACGUUUCCCCUUUCCCCGAACUACGUCGACUCUGAUGUUUGUGUGACAAACUACGUAGGACCAGGAUGCGAUAUCCUGCCGAGUUACCUUCUUCCGUCUUUCAUCUGUGUUUCUAUUCCAGUGUUGUGCAGUUUUGAGCAGUAUCUUUAGCAAUCUUUCUUCUAUU